Non-coding RNA from Ictidomys tridecemlineatus (thirteen-lined ground squirrel), 741 nucleotides. The record is from RefSeq and is a predicted model, not a curated record. Lineage: Eukaryota; Metazoa; Chordata; Mammalia; Rodentia; Sciuridae.
CUAGAAGUAGUUUUGUGGGACCAGCCUUGAAGGACUGCUUGGGAUCUGGCCCCCAUUCUUUCCAUAUUCAUUCAACACAGGCUUACUGAGGAGCAGGUGUGACUGGCUCAGGGAGAAACAGAGGUGGAAAAACCAAGGCACAGAGAAGCCAAGCAGCUGGCCACUGGGGCCCCACAGCUAGUUUAUCCUCUGAGACAAGUAUUGCUGUCUUCAAGCUUUUGUUGAGGAGAUGAGCUCAGAGAUGGAGGGAGUACUCACAAGACCACACAGCAAGACAGAGCUGGUGUUGGGAUUUGAAGACAGACAUCUGCACCUCCAUCUGCACCUCCCACAUGGAAUAAGAAAGUACCAAAACAUUUUCCUCUGACCACUUGGCCAACCAGAGAGCAGUGGGAAGGUGACCCUGUCCUUGGGCAGCCCAGCUGUAUCUCAGAUGGCCAGAGCUGACUCUCUGAAAAAAAUAUGCCAGAGGAGAUGAAUGUAUUACUGGAGAAAGAUAUCAGAAGGAACUGCGUUGUCCAUGAGAUUAGAGGGUUCAAGGCUCCUUAAUUUAGUCUAUACAGGCAGUUAACAGACCCAAGUUAACUGAGCUAAAAGCAGGACUCCCUCUACCCUCUGCGUGACCAGGGAGUGCAAUGCGGAUGGAAGUAAUAAAUUAAUACUAAAAUGGGAAAGUGAAAUGAAGCACAGAAAACAACUGCAGCAUGAGACAAUUCCUUUUUUUUUAAAGAGAGAGAGAGA